This 28-nucleotide non-coding RNA is filed under the name Mus musculus (house mouse). Lineage: Eukaryota; Metazoa; Chordata; Mammalia; Rodentia; Muridae. The record is from RNAcentral.
CACACCCCAACCAAGGUCAUGAGGUCUC